This 533-nucleotide ribosomal RNA is filed under the name Zoanthus sociatus. RNAcentral describes it as "partial 16S ribosomal RNA". It matches the Rfam family "Bacterial large subunit ribosomal RNA", at positions 1849 to 2418 of the family's 2925-position model. The record is from RNAcentral. Lineage: Eukaryota; Metazoa; Cnidaria; Anthozoa; Zoantharia; Zoanthidae.
AGGGUGAUGCCUGCCCAAUGGUUGUAUCUAAAAGCGGUUGAUAAAAGUUGACCUCGUAAGGACAAUUGAAUGGCCGCGGUAACACUGACCGUGAUAAUGUAGCGUAAUCAAUAGCCAAUUAAUUGUUGGCCAGUAUGAAUGGCGCCACGAAGGCCCCACUGUCUUAAGGAAAUUCCCAGUGAAAUUGAAUUCGUAGUGAAGAUGCUACGUCCAAUUUGUUAGACGAAAAGACCCCGUUGAGCUUUACUGGAGCACUUACAUGGCCCCGGCCUUCCCAUGCCUGGGAACCGGCCGAAUUUAAAUGGGCGGCUUAGAUUAUGUGGCAGCCCCCCGCUGGGGCAAAUGAAACACCACUCCCCCAUGUCAAAGGGGCUAACCCCCCCCCUUGGGGGGACAGUGUAAGUAGGACAGUUUGGUUGGGGCGACCACCUUUUAAAAAGUAACGAAGGUGCGCUUAAGGUGCGCAAUUAAUGACUGAAGCCUGACUGCGAGGGGGACACCCCGAGCAGACACCCCAAAGCCCGCCCGAAAGG